This 194-nucleotide ribosomal RNA is filed under the name Leopardus guttulus (Southern oncilla). Its description in RNAcentral is "partial 16S ribosomal RNA". The record is from RNAcentral. Lineage: Eukaryota; Metazoa; Chordata; Mammalia; Carnivora; Felidae.
GCUUUAAUUAACCGACCCAAAGAGACCCCUCUAACCAACCGACAGGAACAACAAAUCUCUACAUGGGCCGACAAUUUAGGUUGGGGUGACCUCGGAGAAUAAAACAACCUCCGAGUGAUUUAAAUCCAGACUAACCAGUCAAAAGUAUUACAUCACUUAUUGAUCCAAAAACUUGAUCAACGGAACAAGUUACC